UUUCUCUUUAGAUUUGAGGCUCCUUCACAGGAGGGAAUUCACGCCUGAUACUGUGCAGAUCUGGUUACAAGACGUGCCAGGGAAGUCAUGGAGGCCCUUCCCACCUCCCGGGACCUAUUGGAUACUGGAGAAUAAGGAGUCACUGUCCUCAGCUCCAUACUGGUGCUCAGGUGGAAGACCCUGCUUGAACUCAGCGGGUCACAAAACACAACAGAAAGACUUGAGAGUAGGAUGGGGACCCAGAAGGAGAGGGGUCAGUGAGGGUUGGCGUGAGGGUGAGAGGAUGGAGAGGAUGGGGGCAUGAGUGUGAUCCGUGUACUACACACAUGUGUGAACUGGCAAAGAAGUCAAUGACAAGGAAGUUAUUCAC
Molecule: long non-coding RNA, 370 nt
Filed under: Rattus norvegicus (Norway rat)
Lineage: Eukaryota; Metazoa; Chordata; Mammalia; Rodentia; Muridae
Description: long non-coding RNA NONRATT018237
Source: RNAcentral